RNAcentral lists this non-coding RNA (197 nucleotides) under Phascolarctobacterium sp. Its description in RNAcentral is "T-box sequence". It matches the Rfam family "T-box leader". From Rfam's summary of the family: Uncharged tRNA acts as the effector for transcription antitermination of genes in the T-box leader family. The record is from RNAcentral. Lineage: Bacteria; Bacillati; Bacillota; Negativicutes; Acidaminococcales; Acidaminococcaceae.
UCAAAUUCUGUGAAGCGGAGCAGUAGUCUGCAGUAUCUUACAGAAAGUCGGCGGUUGAUGCGAGCCGGCAGUUAGGGCAGAUGAACUCACCGUGAAGAAGCCGCAAGGAAAUGUGCGGACGUGAUGCUGCGUUAAGGCUAAUUGAGUGGCGGCUGUAGCCGCAAUCAGGGUGGUACCGCGAAUUUUUCGUCCCUGAC